UCCCGGGAAACUGGGAUUAAUCCGUGAUAGGUCAUCUCAUCUGGAAGGAGAGAUGGCUUAAAGGGGUGCCCGGGCUUCUUCUGCGCAUUCGCUCCAGGAUGGGACUGCGUCCGAUCAGGCUGUUGGCGGGGUAAUGGCCCACCAAACCUGUAACCGGUACGGGCCUUGAGAGAGGUGGCCCGGAGAUGGACACUGAGAGAAGGGUCCAGGUCCUACGGGGCGCAGCAGGCGCGAAACCUUCGCAAUGCGCGAAAGCGUGACGAGGUUAAUCCGAGUGGCCCCCGCUGAGGGGGUCUUUUGUCAGCUGUAAAUAGGCGGGCGAAUAAGGGGAGGGCAAGCCUGGUGUCAGCCGCCGCGGUAAUACCAGCUCCUCGAGUGGUCGGGGCGAUUAUUGGGCCUAAAGCAUCCGUAGCCGGUUCCGUAGGUCCUCUGUUAAAUCCAACCGCUUAACGGUUGACCUGCAGAGGAUACCGCGGGACUAGGAGGCGGGAGAGGCGGACGGUACUCCGCGUGUAGGGGUAAAAUCCUUUGAUCCGCGGAAGA
RNAcentral lists this ribosomal RNA (543 nucleotides) under uncultured archaeon. RNAcentral's name for it is "bacterial SSU rRNA". It matches the Rfam family "Archaeal small subunit ribosomal RNA", at positions 130 to 656 of the family's 1478-position model. The record is from RNAcentral.